Non-coding RNA from Populus trichocarpa (black cottonwood), 99 nucleotides. NCBI's taxonomy places the organism in Eukaryota, Viridiplantae, Streptophyta, Magnoliopsida, Malpighiales, Salicaceae. The record is from Rfam.
GUCUCUUUAGGAACAUUUGAUAAAAUUGGAAGAAUACAUAAAAGAUUAGCUUGUUCUUGCACAAGUAUGACAUGUAACUUCGAUUCUUCCAAAUGUUCU